This 64-nucleotide transfer RNA is filed under the name Disteniidae sp. BMNH 899837. RNAcentral's name for it is "tRNA-Asn". The record is from RNAcentral. Lineage: Eukaryota; Metazoa; Arthropoda; Insecta; Coleoptera; Cerambycidae.
UUAAUUGAAACCAAAAUAGCGGUUUAUCACUGUUAAUGAUAAAAUUGAGUACUCUCCAAUUAAA